This 460-nucleotide ribosomal RNA is filed under the name uncultured bacterium. RNAcentral's name for it is "partial 16S ribosomal RNA". It matches the Rfam family "Bacterial small subunit ribosomal RNA", at positions 338 to 795 of the family's 1533-position model. The record is from RNAcentral.
CCUACGGGUGGCAGCAGUGAGGAAUAUUGGUCAAUGGACGAGAGUCUGAACCAGCCAAGUAGCGUGAAGGAUGACUGCCCUAUGGGUUGUAAACUUCUUUUAUAUGGGAAUAAAACGUUCCACGUGUGGGCUUUUGUAUGUACCAUAUGAAUAAGGAUCGGCUAACUCCGUGCCAGCAGCCGCGGUAAUACGGAGGAUCCGAGCGUUAUCCGGAUUUAUUGGGUUUAAAGGGAGCGUAGGUGGAUUGUUAAGUCAGUUGUGAAAGUUUGCGGCUCAACCGUAGAAUUGCAGUUGAAACUGGCAGUCUUGAGUACAGUAGAGGUGGGCGGAAUGCGUGGUGUAGCGGUGAAAUGCUUAGAUAUCGCGCAGAACCCCGAUUGCGAAGGCAGCGUACCGGCUCCACACUGACGCUGAGGCACGAAAGCGUGGGUAUCGAACAGGAUUAGAUACCCUUGUAGUC